UCAAAUUAUUUUUUAUGAUAGAGAUCCCGAAUCGAUUAUCAGAACCGUUAAAAUUGAUCUAAAUUUCAUAAUCUUUAGAAUAUUUGAAAAUUUAAUUUUAAAAACUAAAUUUCAUAAUCUUUAGAAAUUAUUUAUAUAGCCCUUGUUUGGUUGGGGGUUAAGGGGUGGAAUAACCCCUAUUCCACCCCUUAACCCCCAUUUUAUUUCCAAACACCCAAAAAAAUAGGUGGGGUAAGCUAACCCCACAUAACCCCACCUCAAAUAAAUUAUUCCGGGUUAGCUAACCCCAUCUAACCCCACCAAUUAAACUCCAACCAAACACUAUUUUCUAUUCAUAAUAACCCACUAUCUUUCUUAUCACACCUAUUCCAACCAAUCAUUAUCUUCUUAUCCCACCUACCCAACCAAACACUAUUUUUCAUUAUUCUAGACUAACUCCAAUCCCCAACCAAACACAAAAAAAUAUUAAUCCCAAUUUAACCCUGAACUUAACUCUAUCUCUAGAAUAACUAUUUUUUCCUUAACCCCGAACCAAACGGAGGCAUAGUGAUCAAAGGAUCAUAAAAUUGAUAGUUUUUUACGACCUAAAUAAGCCAUUUAUCUAUUUAACGAUAUAGAGUAAUCCAAACCACUUGCAUUUUUUAUAAAACUUUUUUUUAUACUAUUUAGAUAACAUUUGAUAAUUCCAAUCGUGAAUUGAGAAAGUUUAACCUUUAUUUUCAUAUGGUUAUUCAUCUUUUACUGUUCAUUUUUUGACUCUCCGAUGGACUUUAUAAUCAUUUUUAAAAAUUAUAAAGUUCAGUUUAUAAAUAUUUUUAAUAGUGUAGAUCAAUUUUAACUAUGCGGAUUAUCAAUUUGAGGUCCCGAUUUAUCCAAAAUGGCUUGAUAGGAUAAAGACUUUUAUUCUCUUAAGAAGACAGUAAUUGGAAUCCAAAUUAUUAUAUAAAAAUAAAGUUUAGUUUUCUUCGUAUUUUUUAUUCCGAAUUAUACAAUCGAUACUAAUCAAAACUGGUUCCAACAAAUAGUAUCAGAGCAAAUAUCUCUCUGCAGGAUAGCUUAUUCUGUUUGAAAAUUUAUAAUAUAAUUGUAAGUAACGAGUUUGAUUUUUGUUUCUUCAAAUGUAUUUUUAUCUAUGAUAUGGUAGGAUAGUAUAUUUUACUUAUGAGACGAUUUAUGUUUUUUUAAAAAAUUAACUUGAAAUUUGUAUAUAUUCUUAUUUUGUUUAAGAAAUUUGUAUAAUUGAUUGAAAAAGAGUGUGAUCAAAUGUUUAGAAUGAAAUAUGAUAUAUAUUCGGACUUUCUACCAACUCAUGGAUAGCAGUAUAUUCGAAGAAAUAAAAAUCAAACUCCUUACUUAUAAUCAUACUAAAAAAUUCUUAUACCAAAAUAACUUGUUUCGACAUCCAAAUGCGGUAAAAAAAAAUUUUAAAUG
RNAcentral lists this long non-coding RNA (1431 nucleotides) under Ananas comosus (pineapple). Its description in RNAcentral is "long non-coding RNA (ACOM_LNC009750)". Lineage: Eukaryota; Viridiplantae; Streptophyta; Magnoliopsida; Poales; Bromeliaceae. The record is from RNAcentral.